This 1488-nucleotide ribosomal RNA is filed under the name Lactiplantibacillus pentosus. Its description in RNAcentral is "bacterial SSU rRNA". It matches the Rfam family "Bacterial small subunit ribosomal RNA". Lineage: Bacteria; Bacillati; Bacillota; Bacilli; Lactobacillales; Lactobacillaceae. The record is from RNAcentral.
GACGAACGCUGGCGGCGUGCCUAAUACAUGCAAGUCGAACGAACUCUGGUAUUGAUUGGUGCUUGCAUCAUGAUUUACAUUUGAGUGAGUGGCGAACUGGUGAGUAACACGUGGGAAACCUGCCCAGAAGCGGGGGAUAACACCUGGAAACAGAUGCUAAUACCGCAUAACAACUUGGACCGCAUGGUCCGAGUUUGAAAGAUGGCUUCGGCUAUCACUUUUGGAUGGUCCCGCGGCGUAUUAGCUAGAUGGUGGGGUAACGGCUCACCAUGGCAAUGAUACGUAGCCGACCUGAGAGGGUAAUCGGCCACAUUGGGACUGAGACACGGCCCAAACUCCUACGGGAGGCAGCAGUAGGGAAUCUUCCACAAUGGACGAAAGUCUGAUGGAGCAACGCCGCGUGAGUGAAGAAGGGUUUCGGCUCGUAAAACUCUGUUGUUAAAGAAGAACAUAUCUGAGAGUAACUGUUCAGGUAUUGACGGUAUUUAACCAGAAAGCCACGGCUAACUACGUGCCAGCAGCCGCGGUAAUACGUAGGUGGCAAGCGUUGUCCGGAUUUAUUGGGCGUAAAGCGAGCGCAGGCGGUUUUUUAAGUCUGAUGUGAAAGCCUUCGGCUCAACCGAAGAAGUGCAUCGGAAACUGGGAAACUUGAGUGCAGAAGAGGACAGUGGAACUCCAUGUGUAGCGGUGAAUGCGUAGAUAUAUGGAAGAACACCAGUGGCGAAGGCGGCUGUCUGGUCUGUAACUGACGCUGAGGCUCGAAAGUAUGGGUAGCAAACAGGAUUAGAUACCCUGGUAGUCCAUACCGUAAACGAUGAAUGCUAAGUGUUGGAGGGUUUCCGCCCUUCAGUGCUGCAGCUAACGCAUUAAGCAUUCCGCCUGGGGAGUACGGCCGCAAGGCUGAAACUCAAAGGAAUUGACGGGGGCCCGCACAAGCGGCGGAGCAUGUGGUUUAAUUCGAAGCUACGCGAAGAACCUUACCAGGUCUUGACAUACUAUGCAAAUCUAAGAGAUUAGACGUUCCCUUCGGGGACAUGGAUACAGGUGGUGCAUGGUUGUCGUCAGCUCGGGUCGUGAGAUGUUGGGUUAAGUCCCGCAACGAGCGCAACCCUUAUUAUCAGUUGCCAGCAUUAAGUUGGGCACUCUGGUGAGACUGCCGGUGACAAACCGGAGGAAGGUGGGGAUGACGUCAAAUCAUCAUGCCCCUUAUGACCUGGGCUACACACGUGCUACAAUGGAUGGUACAACGAGUUGCGAACUCGCGAGAGUAAGCUAAUCUCUUAAAGCCAUUCUCAGUUCGGAUUGUAGGCUGCAACUCGCCUACAUGAAGUCGGAAUCGCUAGUAAUCGCGGAUCAGCAUGCCGCGGUGAAUACGUUCCCGGGCCUUGUACACACCGCCCGUCACACCAUGAGAGUUUGUAACACCCAAAGUCGGUGGGGUAACCUUUUAGGAACCAGCCGCCUAAGGUGGGACAGAUGAUUAGGGUG